UUGAAAGAAAUCCAUUGUAGAGAACUGUGAUUACUAGGAUUGCUCACUUCACCAAAUGAGAAUCGACAAGAGAAAUAGUCGUGGCAACGGCACUGAAGAAACCAUAGUAACCUCAUUGUGAAGUAACUACGAAUGGACAAUAAACAAAGCAAGGCGAUAGAUACUCAAGUACAUUGUUUUAUUGAUUUCUGUAUUGUACAGUGUUCAAGUGCACACUGACAGUCUCUGGACAUCACUACAAAGUUGGCUAGCACACUCAUCCAAAGGGUUUAAGUCCGAAGCAAUCAGAAGAACACAAUGAUAAGAUUCGCCGUAUUCACAUACCUUCUUGCAUUUGCUCUGGUAAGUGAAAAGAGUGAAGCCUGCCCGACAAGCAAACUACAAGAGGGUACUUUGCUAGCUUUAUUGCCAGAAAUCAACGAAGAACAAAAGGAAAUGCUGGAUUCGCAUAUGUUUAAAACCUAC
Molecule: non-coding RNA, 465 nt
Organism: Styela clava
Lineage: Eukaryota; Metazoa; Chordata; Ascidiacea; Stolidobranchia; Styelidae
Source: RefSeq, a predicted model, not a curated record